Molecule: ribosomal RNA, 378 nt
Filed under: uncultured soil bacterium
Lineage: Bacteria
Description: bacterial SSU rRNA
Rfam family: Bacterial small subunit ribosomal RNA
Source: RNAcentral
AGAGUGAACGCUGGCGGCAGGCCUAACACAUGCAAGUCGAACGGCAGCACAGGGGAGCUUGCUCCCUGGGUGGCGAGUGGCGGACGGGUGAGGACAACGUCGGAAUCUGCCUUUUUGUGGGGGAUAACGUAGGGAAACUUACGCUAAUACCGCAUACGACCCCGGGCCGGGAGGUUCGGGGUGAAAGCGGAGGACCUUCGGGCUUCGCGCAGAGAGAUGAGCCGACGUCGGAUUAGCUAGUUGGUGGGGUAAAGGCCCACCAAGGCGACGAUCCGUAGCUGGUCUGAGAGGAUGAUCAGCCACACUGGAACUGAGACACGGUCCAGACUCCUACGGGAGCAGCAGUGGGGAAUAUUGGACAAGUGGGCGACAAGCCUG